This 497-nucleotide ribosomal RNA is filed under the name uncultured bacterium. RNAcentral's name for it is "partial 16S ribosomal RNA". It matches the Rfam family "Bacterial small subunit ribosomal RNA", at positions 28 to 507 of the family's 1533-position model. The record is from RNAcentral.
GAUGAACGCUGGCGGCGUGCCUAAUACAUGCAAGUCGAGCGGACGGACGAGAAGCUUGCUUCUCUGACGUUAGCGGCGGACGGGUGAGUAACACGUGGAUAACCUACCUAUAAGACUGGGAUAACUUCGGGAAACCGGAGCUAAUACCGGAUGAUAUUUUGAACCGCAUGGUUCAAAAGUGAAAGACGGUCUUGCUGUCACUUAUAGAUGGAUCCGCGCUGCUUUAGCUAGUUGGUAAGGUAACGGCUUACCAAGGCAACGAUGCAUAGCCGACCUGAGAGGGUGAUCGGCCACACUGGAACGUGGACACGGUCCAGACUCCUACGAGACGCAGCAGAAGGGAAUCUUCCGCAAUGGGCGAAAGCCUGACGGAGCGACGCCGCGUGAGUGAUGGAGGUCUUCGGAUCGGAAAACUCUCUUAUUAGGGAAGAACAUAUGUGUAAGUAACUGUGCACAUCGUGACGGUACCUAGUCAGAAAGCCACGGCUAACUACGUG